UACGUAGGAGACGAGCGUUGUCCGGAGUUACUGGGCGUAAAGGGUGCGCAGGCGGCCCUGCGCGUCGCGAGUGAAAUCUCCCGGCUCAACUGGGAGGGUGCGCCGAAUACUGAGAGGCUAGAGUGUGGGAGAGGAAAGUGGAAUUCCUGGUGUAGCGGUGAAAUGCGUAGAUAUCAGGAGGAACACCGGUGGUGUAAACGGCUUUCUGGACCAUAACUGACGCUGAGGCACGAAAGCGUGGGUAGCAAACAGG
Molecule: ribosomal RNA, 253 nt
Filed under: uncultured bacterium
Lineage: Bacteria
Description: partial 16S ribosomal RNA
Rfam family: Bacterial small subunit ribosomal RNA
Source: RNAcentral